ACGCGUGGAACCUUACCAGGUCUUGACAUCCUCUGACACUCCUAGAGAUAGGACGUUCCCCUUCGGGGGACAGAGUGACAGGUGGUGCAUGGUUGUCGUCAGCUCGUGUCGUGAGAUGUUGGGUUAAGUCCCGCAACGAGCGCAACCCUUGAUCUUAGUUGCCAGCAUUAAGUUGGGCACUCUAAGGAGACUGCCGGUGACAAACCGGAGGAAGGUGGGGAUGACGUCAAAUCAUCAUGCCCCUUAUGACCUGGGCUACACACGUGCUACAAUGGAUGGUACAAAGGGCAGCAAAGCGGUGACGCCUAGCGAAUCCCAUAAAACCAUUCUCAGUUCGGAUUGUAGGCUGCAACUCGCCUACAUGAAGCUGGAAUCGCUAGUAAUCGCGGAUCAGCAUGCCGCGGUGAAUACGUUCCCGGGCCUUGCACACACCGCCCGU
RNAcentral lists this ribosomal RNA (439 nucleotides) under uncultured bacterium. RNAcentral describes it as "bacterial SSU rRNA". It matches the Rfam family "Bacterial small subunit ribosomal RNA", at positions 959 to 1397 of the family's 1533-position model. The record is from RNAcentral.